UACGGAGGGUGCAAGCGUUAUCCGGAUUCACUGGGUUUAAAGGGUGCGUAGGCGGGCUUGUAAGUCCGUGGUGAAAUCUCUGAGCUUAACUCGGAAACUGCCAUGGAUACUAUGAGUCUUGAAUACUCGGGAGGUGAGCGGAAUAUGUCAUGUAGCGGUGAAAUGCUUAGAUAUGACAUAGAACACCAAUUGCGAAGGCAGCUUGCUACAGAGUUAUUGACGCUGAGGCACGAAAGCGUGGGGAUCAAACAGG
Molecule: ribosomal RNA, 253 nt
Filed under: uncultured Cnuella sp.
Lineage: Bacteria; Pseudomonadati; Bacteroidota; Chitinophagia; Chitinophagales; Chitinophagaceae
Description: partial 16S ribosomal RNA
Rfam family: Bacterial small subunit ribosomal RNA
Source: RNAcentral